GUGGCAUUAUACUUCAAUCAUUCUAACUGACAUAACCAUUUGUGGAGAGGGGAAAAAAACAUAGCAUCAACUCAACAGCAAAUUUACUUCUUUUAGGUUUUAAGGUAAAGUUAAGUACUAGUAGUCAAGAUGAGCAAGGGAUGGGGUUAGUACAUGGAUCUUCCAGGCAUAAAUGAGGAAAAAAUAACAGAACGCAAAGCCUAAAGCUAGAAAAGACAGACACAAGUAUCUCUUCAGACACCAAUAAAAUAUUUUACAGUGGACAUAAAACAUGGGCUCCAAAAGGAAACCAUGGGAUGGAACAUAUUACUUCCAGAGCUUAACAAACUUGUCAUGACUAGCUGAAGCAACCAAACCUGCGACUCCCGAUACAGCCAAGGAAGCAAU
This 387-nucleotide unclassified non-coding RNA is filed under the name Hevea brasiliensis (rubber tree). Lineage: Eukaryota; Viridiplantae; Streptophyta; Magnoliopsida; Malpighiales; Euphorbiaceae. The record is from RNAcentral.